RNAcentral lists this non-coding RNA (100 nucleotides) under Rhizobium sp. Leaf306. Its description in RNAcentral is "RcsR1 sRNA". It matches the Rfam family "RcsR1 sRNA". Rfam says of the family: RcsR1 (rhizobial cold and salinity stress riboregulator 1) trans-acting sRNA, formerly known as SmelC587, is a stress-related riboregulator, conserved in Sinorhizobium, Rhizobium and Agrobacterium. In S. meliloti RcsR1 less conserved central region is responsible for the species-specific interaction with the 5'UTR of autoinducer synthase encoding mRNA sinI. Lineage: Bacteria; Pseudomonadati; Pseudomonadota; Alphaproteobacteria; Hyphomicrobiales; Rhizobiaceae. RNAcentral also lists the same sequence under 1 other name. The record is from Rfam by way of RNAcentral.
ACAACGGUAACUGGUGGUGGGCACGCUGACGCGGCCUUGACCAGUCAUGUCCAUCGACAAGACUAUGAACAAGCCGCCCGAUUACCGAGGCGGCUUUUUU